Long non-coding RNA from Lolium rigidum, 519 nucleotides. RefSeq lists it as uncharacterized. The transcript is spliced from 2 exons. NCBI's taxonomy places the organism in Eukaryota, Viridiplantae, Streptophyta, Magnoliopsida, Poales, Poaceae. The record is from RefSeq and is a predicted model, not a curated record.
UUACGAUGGGACAUUUUGAACUCCAAGGCGAUGCAUAUCAGCUGAAGAACAAGCGUAUACAGCAGGUGUGGUUGGCAUUGAACAAUUGCAGAACCGUAUGAGGUGACACCUGGAGGAAACUCUAGCCGGCAAUGGGACACAAAGACUAGAAACUUCUACGUUUACUUAAUUGCUAGAACAAAAUCGCCAUCUGAUGCCUUCACCACCAUCAGAGCCAUGAAUUGAAUCUGUAGCCUCUUCACUGCCUCAUUGAGAUUGUGGGCCAAUCAAGCUCUUUGUUGUAUGCAUAUAUACUUAUAGCCACUAUUGUAUGUCAAGGAUAACACAAUGGCCAAGUAAGUACAUAGUGACAGUUCUAGACAAUUCCUUAGUUUAUGUACGUAUGAGGACAUCGAAACCAGCGAGUUGACGUCCCAUACCGUUAUAUCUUAUUUUUCUCUAUUGUAACAAAGAGUAUUUAAAAUGUACUUAUCCAUCGACAAUUUCGAGCCUAUCCAAUAAAUGAUUUAUAUGUGUCAA